CCCUGGAAAUGUGAAAAGGGUUUUGAGCAGUUCCAUUUUUUGUACAGUACGUCACUACUUGGUAUGAUCUAAUGCACUGAGAUACGUUUACUCAUUUUCUUUUUUUCUGCUGCAGAACAAGAAAACAUUUUGAAGAAUGGUUUCAAUUGCUUUUGUCCUGACAGUGAAAGUCAAUGGGGUCAAAAGCAACAUUGGACCUCUUUGAUGUAAAUUGUAUAGAAAAAACAGAGACAUUUUUAAACAUCUCAGUUUGUGUUCCACAGAAAUCAUAAGAGUAAGUAAAGGAUGACAAUUUUCAUUUUUGAGUGAACUCUUUCUUCAUGUUUCCAAAGAGAAGGUCAGAGGUAAAGAAAGUCUAACUAUCAGUUUGUGAACGUGAUUUCCUCCGUGUCACAUUUAAUGCAUAUUAAUCUGUCUUUCCAUCCAAGGAUCCAUGACAAUCGAAGCGAUGAGCUCUGCACCUCUUCGUUCUCACUUCGCUGCGACGCUUCACCAAAAAUCUCAGCGCCGCCGCCGCCGCCACGUCCUCCUACUCCAGAAGAGAGAAGUGAAAGAUUACUGCGUGUGGCUCAUUAGGAAUGUUUUAUUUUGUCUGCAAUUUUUUCCCCCCAUCUAUUGUCUCUCCACCCUCUCAGCGAAAGUCUCGGCGGAGUCACAGCCCUGGGUGCAUCGCAGCGACGAGAUAAAUGCAGAAAAUGAACUGGAAGAAAACAGGGAGGCGAGAAAAGCGUGCGGCUGGCCGACGAUGGCCGAAAACUCAAAGGAGAGAUGGUUACACUGCAUCGCCAGCUUGCCUCAUCUGAAUCCCUGACUCCUGACCUCCCCUGAGGAAGGUGCUCACUGUCAGAAGAACCCCCGGCAUCCUACCGCCACAGAAAGGUGAUUCCUUUAAAGCGCCAGAAACGGAUGAAGGAGCGAGAGGGGGCUGCGCGAGGCGGGCAGACGGGGAGGGGAGCUGUCGCUUGUGUCAGGUUAACCUCAGAGACACAUCCGGAGCUCAGCAUCUGGGAGACGGAGGGGAGAGAGAGGCACCGCCGCUCCAUUUGGCGCAAUUUCACCACGGCAGCAACAGAUAGCAACAAAAGUCCCGUUGAGGUCUUUAAGAAAAUACCCUGGUGUGUGUGUAAAGGCGAGAGGCCCAAUAUUCAGCAGCAGAUGAGACGUGUGCAUGUGUCUGUGAGAAAGAGGCAGAUGAAGAGAAGAAGAUAAGAGACAAAGAUGACAGCACUCAAAGGCUAAAGGCAGCGCUUUCUCUCAUCUCCUGACCACCGACUGACCCCAAGACUGAGAGCCGAGAGCCGACGGAGUGACCCGGCUCCCCGUGACCCUGCCAAGCUGAGCGUGAGGCUCCCCAGCCGAGCCCACCGGAGCUCCAGCCUCACUGAUCUCCAGCCCUGUAAUUGGGUCAAAGCUCUGCAUUGCCUUAUUGAUGUGCAAAUGCUAACUGUCGAGGCAUGUCACUCUCAGCCAUAUUAGAGAACACCUCGAGGAUGACUGCAGGAGAUCAAGGACGCCAAUGCACCAUUUCAUAUCAAACCCCAAACAUGAGAGGGGUGCCGUUCAUUAAAAUUUAGGCCAUCAAGAAAUAUCCAAUUCAAAAGAAAUGUCUAAUUUGAAGCGGUCCUUGACAGGACACGAUCAUAUCUUAACGCAUUUAACAACCGGUUUCGACAUGAGUAAUGGCACCCUGAAAAAGGAUGUUCUCGCAAAUUAUGAUAAGAAUUAAAAUGAUGGGAAGUAAGAACAUGUCAGUUAACCAGGAGGAAGCACAGCCAGUCAGAAAGUCAAAAGAUGUAAUUUGUCAUAAGAGUUCCUAAUACAUCAAUAUACAUCAUGAAAUUAUGGAGGACAUGCAAUAUAUAAACACAUCAAUGGUUAUUUCUUUGAAGAGGAAAAGGAAACAGUAUAAAAUGAAUGAGAAAAUAAUCAAAACUACAAAAAUAACACUAAAUCGCGAAAUAUGAGAUCAAAUAAAGUAGAAAUUGCUGAUAUGCUACUUUCAGAUGUCCACAACUGAUCUGAUGCCACUAGUAUAAAACGAUGGACUGAUUACAAAAUCUAAAAUAUUCUUCUUCAAUAUAAUUUUUUAAAUAUUUAUAAAUUACAACAAUAUUUUAACAAUAUGUCAUGGCUUAAUAAGCCUUUGAUUUUAGUCAAAUAAAACAAAACAUAAAUUCAGAAGGCCAUCACGGUACAUCUGUGUACGAUUGAAAAAAAACUGCAGCGGAUAAUCACGAGACCUUCAUUGGAAUUUUUUGCAGUGGAUUUAAUGUGGCUUUAUGGGAAGCAUUAAGUUCAUUACAUUUCUUUUAUUGCCUUGACGUAUCUAGUAGACUGUUAAUGUGUUCCUCUCGGUUGAUCGUACAUGUGCGAGCAGCGUGCCGAGGAUCAAAACAUCAGAUCGCUGGGAUUGUCGUGCUGUGAAAGAAUUUAAAAGUACUGGUGUCCCAGUCUUAUAAUUGGGUAUCGAUGGCCAACGAUUCUCUCAAUUUCAUCGUUUUUCCACUUGGACAAUCUGGUGGAACUCUAAGACAACCUAAUUAUAACCCCUGCUGAGGAGGCCGGCCCUGAGCAAGGUUUCAUAACUGUCUCAACUUUCUCAUCCUCUGCAAACUUUUACAAGGACAUGACACUGAUACUAAUCAUGCCAAGCCAGACAGACAAUGUUGAAGUGAAGAGUUAAUCACGGUAUAAGCAUUACCACAAAUUAUUUAAAGCUAUUUUUUUCUCCAAAUGUGUGGAUUGAGGCUUUCAGGUUUUCUGCACAAAGGCUGUUUGUUGUGGUUUAAAACAGUAGCUUUCCGUUCUAUAAGAUACACUUUUGAAAAAAGCUGCUAAACUACUACAAAAACCUAAAAUGCCAUGUUGUUUUAUUUUUCAAACAACUUGAUUUGCUUUUGAAUUUUCAAUGCUACAUAAUAACAGUUGCCUUUCCUUGCUUGGCUGUAAUGUGCAAACAGCGUGUUUUGAAAUGCGUACUUGUUGGAAAAAAUAGCUUGUUACUGGCUACACUAUUUUGAAAGCAAAUGCACAACGGUUACAGUACUAAAAAUCUAGUUUAGUUAGGAGAAUUUCUACUUAUGCUGUGCAAUCACCAUAUCCAUUCACUGUAAAGCUCAGCCUGAGUACAGUCUUUUUGCAAAUUCAAAAAUUGCCACCAGAAGAAGCCUUACGUCAUCCUACAUCAUACAUACAUUUAUACUGUUUUAUUUAUGGUCAGUUUUUGACUGUGCUUUUAUUUGCCUGUUAUGUGUUUUAUAUUGUUCAGAAGUGGGUAGGUUUAGGGUAGGGGUGGGGUUAGGUGCUGCAAUUAAAGUAUACAUUGCUAUAAAAUAAUUUCUAUUUUUUUUACAAAUGCAUGCAAACCAUUAAACUAAAGGAGUAGUUUACUUCCAAAAAAAAAAAAAGAUUACAGAUAAUGUACUGUCAUCGGAUGCCUUUCUUUCUUCAGUCGUAAAAAAAAAAAUGUUUUUUUGAGGGAAACAUUUCAGGAAUUAUCUCUGUAUAGUGGACUUUAAUGGUGCCCGCAAGUUUGAACGUCCAAAAUGUAGUUUAAAUGCACGUGAGAGCAUUGAUACUGCAAUUUGGAUCUUUAACCCGCUGGUGCCCAUUAAAGUCUACUAUAUGGAAAAAAACCUGGAAUGUUUUCUUAAAAACCUUAAUUUCCUUUUGAUUGAAGAAAAAAAGACAUGAACAUAUUGGAUGACAUGGGGGUAAGUAAAUUAUGGAAUGAACUAAUAUUUUAAGUUGAAGUACUAAAAACUAUAAUAAAAAUUAAACAAAGAUACAAAAAUAUAUUUAGAAAAAACAAAAAUGACAUACAGAUAAAAUUACUAACUAAAAUUAGAACAGAAAACAAAAAUAAAAGCUAAUUAAAAAUAUGAAAAAAUACAAUAGUAUUAUAUAAACAAAUAUAUACUGCAGUAUACUGCAUUAUUAAUAAUUGAGCACCAAUAAAAACUGAGAACCAAAUCAGCAUAUUAAAAUGAUAUCCGAAGGAUCAUGUAACACUGAAGACUGAAGUAAUGCUGCUGAAAAUUCAGCUUUGAUCAUUUAUUUAUUAUAUUUAUAAAGAAUAUAUUCAUACAGAAAACCGUUAUUUUGAAUUGUAAUACUAUUUCAUAAUAUUACCGUUUGUACUGUAUUUUUGAGCACAUAACUGCAGCCUUGAUGAGUCAUUAAAGACGUUUAAAAAUCAUGUUUCCAAACUUUUGAAAGGUAUAUAUAUACUGAAAUAACACUGCAAGCUGGUAGAUGUCAUAAUUAAACACUCUGCAAUAGAAAAUGAUUACCAUUCUGAUGAGAUUAAGUAGAAGCAACAUAUGUUUGCUAUUAUUUCAGCAUAGAAGUGACAGUUAUCAGUGCGUAACUAUUUUUGAGCAAUUAUUUGACGCAUCUCAAGAUAGUUGCUAGUGAAAGGCUAGAACAGCGCUUUCCUGUGGUCAUUCUACUUUGUUAAUAUCCUCCUGAUAGAAUCAAGAAAUACCUCAUGCACAUUCUCUAACCUCAACUUACACUCCUAAUCUGAAUAGUGAUCAGUGACCCUGGAGCUGCCGGCGUCAGCCCUGCCCAGUGCGAAGAAGGAUAUUUCAGACCAGAGAACAGGUGGACACCAGCCAGGGGAGACGAUUCAGCCGGCUUGCCCACAAACAGGGGUCAGGGUGGGCCACACGUCACAUAAAUCAAUCUGACGUGUUCACCCAGGCCUGCACUGGCACAGGCCAACCCGCGGCCCGAGCCCCAUGCCCACUGAGCUACUGGCUGCGGCGCUAUUUUGAUGCAUGGUUCAGGGGUGCAUUUGGAACGGGUCAGCUGACUUUGAUCCAGGGCCUGGCUGGAGAGACUUCAGGUGCCUUCUGGUUCCACAGAUAUCACGCCAGUGGUAUGAGCUCCACUGCAGGGAAAUCGGGCGCUCUGAAAGAGAUCCUGGUGGGCAGCAGAAUGAAUGUGCAAUGGCAUGUACAGUUCAAGACGUCAGUCACUGCAGAUUUCUCAGCUCAUGUGAAGCUGGAUCACAAAUGAUUUGCGCAAACAUAGACGGAUAUAUGUAGAUCGGGAGGCACAUUCCCUUCACAAACAAAGUGUACCACUGCAUCUUCAGCGGCUCAGAUGUCGGGAGUAAAUGAUGACCACUAUGUUCAUUAUUACAUCCAGCAACACAACACCUCAAUCGCUCAGUCUGAGAUAUUCUUGUCCAACUUACAUCCCUGCUCCGGCAUUGACACAAUGGAGGUCGGACUGUUACAGCUGAUUUCAGGUGGGUCUGAGGUAAGACCCUCAUGUCAGUCAACUAUCGUGAGAGCGGCCUCUGUCUGUGUGACGCCACACCAACAGGCAUCUGAGAAUGGCUCGAUUUGAAAAAGGGGAUAUUAUUUUUACAGAUUAAUUAAAAACCACUGCAUGGCUUUUUAUCAUUAUAGGGUAGAUUUGUACAUACACUGCCAACACACAUUAAUGUUCAAACAACAUGUAAAAGUGAACUUCGCAUCCGAUGACCCCUUUAAGUUUAAUUAUAGUAAUUUUGUUUUUGUCAUAUUAGUUUUUUUGUGGUCUUUUGUGGUAAUCUUUAUUCAUAUUUAUUUCAGUUCUAGUUAUUUUAGAACAACAGAAGUUAAGCUCAGUUAAAAUGAGAAAUAUGAGGUCAAAAGUUUACAUACACUUUGCAGAAUCUGCAAAACAUUAUUUUACCAAAAUAAGAGAGAUCAUACAAAAUGCAUGUUAUUUAUGUUAUGCUCAUUUAGUACUGACUGGAAUAAGAUAUUUCACAUAAAAGAUGUUUAUAUAUAAUCCACAAGAGAAAAUAAUAGGUAAAUAAAAAAAAAUGUCCCCAUGUCCCCAGUUUACAUACACUUGAUUCUUAAUACUGUUGUUACCUGAAGCUGUUUUGUUUUUUGUUUUUUUUGUUCUUGAGUUAAAUUGCUCGCUGUUCUUCAGAAAAAAACCUUCAGAUCCCACAAGUUCUUUUGUUUUUCUGCAUUUUUGUGUAUUUGAACCAUUUCCAACAAUGACUAUGAUUUUGAGAUCCAUCUUUUCACACUGAGGACAACUGAGGGACUCAUAUGCAACUAUUACUGAAGGUUCAAACACUCACCGAUGCUCCAGAAGGAAAAACAAUGCAUUAAGAGCCAGGGGUGUAAACUUCUGAACAGAAUGAAGAUCUGUACAUUUAUCUUAUAUUGCCUAAAUAUUGUAUUUUUUAUUUUUUUUUUUAACUUACAUGUUUCCCAGAGGACAAAAAAAAGUUAGAUUUUCCUUGGUCCUCAAUUUCAAAAAGUGUUUACCCCCCAGCUCUUAAUGCAUUGUUUCCUUCUGGAGCAUCAGUGAGCGUUUGAAUGUUCUGAAUAACUCAUUCAGAUCAGUAUUAAAUAAAAAAUUAUCCCUCUUAUUUUGAUCAAAUAAUUAGCAUUUUACAGCAGAUUCUGCUAGGUGUAUGUGAAUUUUGACUUUACCUGUAUAUGCAGCGUGAAAAUGUUUAACAGCUUAAAAAUAAAGCACUUAUCUUGAGAUAUAUAAAAAAAGUGUAUGACUAGCUCUGGUCUCCCCUAUUGUAUUUUCCAAUGAUUUAUGAUUAGCCAUGACAUCUAAAAUAGGGCUUAAAUGUUUUCUAGAUGUUCCUUAUUUGGUCCAGCAUGUUUAAAUUAUGUGUUUUUCUGAGUUGUAAAUGUGAUUCAAACCAUCUCAGACAGUCACACAAUCUGUUCAAUGGCAUUACAAGACAAUAACAGAAUGAAAAAUAAAAAACUGUAUCUCCAAAGGAAAAAGGGAACAAAUGAGAGAAAUUUGAAGUCUGCAUGUCAAGAUAAUGUCAAAUUUGGUCAAAAAUUCUUACGGGCUUUCAACUUUUCUCUUUGGUUAUGCUAUUCGUGUUUGCAUUGAAGUUUUUCAUAUUUUCUUUCAAAUAAUUCAUUAAUGGCUUGCUAAUCUCAAGAGUGGAUGAAAGGACUUAAUUCCAACUAAAUGAUUUAUACAAGUGCUUCUGAAACUAACCCUUAUUAAAUGAAUAACUCCUGCCAAUAAACCGUGGGUAUCUGUCUUUUAAAAAGUUGAGGGGACACCUGAGAAUUCUGCAAGAAAUAGGAAUAAUUCCUCAAAAAGAAAAUUGCCUGGCUGAACUUGGAGGAUUAAAAGUAAUUGUAAUUUCCCAAACAUUCGGUUUGCGAGUGCUGUUGUCUGUAAAAAGAUGAUAAAAUACUCAAUGCCCCCUGUCUCUUAACUUCAACAAUAGUCAAUCAGACCAGCCGUUUUACCCAACCACCGAAGAAGCUCCGUAUCAGAAAUUAACUUACAGUUCUCAGAGGCCUCGGCGAACAUAUGCACAAGGGCACUUUGAGGUUGCUCUCCACCAACUGUUGCCUGUUUGAUUUUCGUCAGUAUAUUUGAUGGCAAAUAUCAUAAUGUUUGCUCUAGGUCAUGGACAGCACAAAAAACAUUGACAAUUUGUUAUAAACUGUUGAUUAUGCAUAACAUGUUCAGAAAGGUUUUUGGCAUGGAUUAAAACAAACAGCUUGUAUGCGUGACACCUUGGCAUACUGAAUUCUGGGAGGAUAAUAUGCAUAAUGGGAGUGAAAGGUAACUAAUCUUAAGUUCACAUCUUACUAAGUCUUCAUUUAUUUAAAGGUGAGGUCAAAAACAUGUUUUAGAUACUGAUAUUGUGUAUUCUGGCAUUUGAUAUGUACUUUUAGGCAAAGCAGCAACUUAUAACACACUUACAGUCACAAAUUGCCUAAAGCAACAUGACAGUUGUCAUGUUGGUGAAAAACAACAACCUUUUUCUAACAGUAUGACAGUAGCUCAGUAAUAAGCUACUUCUUCAGCGAUGCAGCAUGACAAAAUACUGCUGCAAAUUAUCAAGGUAAAAAUAAAAUUCUGCCUUUCUC
This is a long non-coding RNA of Labeo rohita (rohu), 7877 nucleotides long. RefSeq lists it as uncharacterized. Lineage: Eukaryota; Metazoa; Chordata; Actinopteri; Cypriniformes; Cyprinidae. The record is from RefSeq and is a predicted model, not a curated record. The transcript is spliced from 5 exons.